This 65-nucleotide transfer RNA is filed under the name beta proteobacterium CB. RNAcentral describes it as "tRNA-Und (NNN) (tRNA-Und-NNN-2-1)". Lineage: Bacteria; Pseudomonadati; Pseudomonadota; Betaproteobacteria. The record is from RNAcentral.
UAAGCAGCGGCAACUUACGGCCUAAACACCGUUGGUCGCGAGUUCGAAUCUCGCCCGACCCACCA